GAGCUUACAUGACAAGUCGAGGGGGCAUCGGGAGGGAAGCUUGCUUUCCUUGCCGGCGACCGGCGCACGGGUGAGCAACACGUAUGCAACCUGCCCUCUUCAGGGGGACAACCUUCCGAAAGGGAGGCUAAUCCCGCGUAUAUCGGUUUCGGGCAUCCGUUAUCGAGGAAAGAUUCAUCGGAAGAGGAUGGGCAUGCGGCGCAUUAGCUAGACGGCGGGGUAACGGCCCACCGUGGCGACGAUGCGUAGGGGUUCUGAGAGGAAGGUCCCCCACACUGGUACUGAGACACGGACCAGACUCCUACGGGAGGCAGCAGUGAGGAAUAUUGGUCAAUGGGAGAGAUCCUGAACCAGCCAAGCCGCGUGAGGGAAGACGGCCCUAUGGGUUGUAAACCUCUUUUGUCGGGGAACAAAACCCGGGACGAGUCCCGGACUGCGUGUAUCCGAAGAAAAAGCAUCGGCUAACUCCGUGCCAGCAGCCGCGGUAAUACGGAGGAUGCGAGCGUUAUCCGGAUUUAUUGGGUUUAAAGGGUGCGUAGGCGGUCCGUUAAGUCAGCGGUAAAAUUGCGGGGCUCAACCCCGUCGAGCCGUUGAAACUGGCAGACUUGAGUUGGCGAGAAGUACGCGGAAUGCGCGGUGUAGCGGUGAAAUGCAUAGAUAUCGCGCAGAACUCCGAUUGCGAAGGCAGCGUACCGGCGCCAGACUGACGCUGAGGCACGAAAGCGUGGGGAUCGAACAGGAUUAGAUACC
Molecule: ribosomal RNA, 750 nt
Filed under: uncultured bacterium
Lineage: Bacteria
Description: bacterial SSU rRNA
Rfam family: Bacterial small subunit ribosomal RNA
Source: RNAcentral